GACAAAAACAUGACAAAUAUGCGCAGUUUAACUGGAGGCAACAUAACAGCGAGUGUGCCUUGAGUGAACGGUUUAUAGGGAAACUCCAGAGAUCAUGAGCUUUGUCCCCAGAUGAGGCAACAGUCGUGUAAUCAGAUUCAUUUUGAUUAGCUAACUGGGGAAAACCCCGUAUACCUCACAACAAUCCAUGUGAGCAGGUUGGUGUGAGAACGAAGGGAAUCACGUGAUCUUCUGGGAGCAAAAUCAAGCAUUUGGGAUGUUUUUAGUCGGUAGAUGAAUAUCUUGUGCAUUUUCCUUUAGAUUGGCCUCCACAGCUGCUGCUAACAGAACGUAGCCCAUGUUUUUUGUAAGAUGAGACCUUCUUACAAGGGAAAAUAUGAACGACCCAUUGAGACCAUUGUGGGGAACUGCGUUUCUGAAGGUCUCAUUGGAUGGCAGAAGGAAAUCCACAGGAAGGCUGUGUUUUCAAACCUCUGUUACUCAUGAGACCGACAGGCCUUUCGUGGAAACGUCAGUUUACUGUGUGCAGAAUCAGCUACGAUUGGCUAGUUCUUCACAAUCACAUCCUUACUCUAGUGCUCAGUGAUUAUGGUCUGAGAUAUUUCUUGUAAAAUUCUGUGGAAAUAAACUAAAACAACAAAUGUUCAA
Long non-coding RNA from Carassius gibelio (silver crucian carp), 648 nucleotides. RefSeq lists it as uncharacterized. The record is from RefSeq and is a predicted model, not a curated record. The transcript is spliced from 2 exons. Lineage: Eukaryota; Metazoa; Chordata; Actinopteri; Cypriniformes; Cyprinidae.